RNAcentral lists this ribosomal RNA (497 nucleotides) under uncultured bacterium. Its description in RNAcentral is "partial 16S ribosomal RNA". It matches the Rfam family "Bacterial small subunit ribosomal RNA", at positions 28 to 507 of the family's 1533-position model. The record is from RNAcentral.
GAUGAACGCUGGCGGCGUGCCUAAUACAUGCAAGUCGAGCGAACGGACGAGAAGCUUGCUUCUCUGAUGUUAGCGGCGGACGGGUGAGUAACACGUGGAUAACCUACCUAUAAGACUGGGAUAACUUCGGGAAACCGGAGCUAAUACCGGAUAAUAUUUUGAACCGCAUGGUUCAAAAGUGAAAGACGGUCUUGCUGUCACUUAUAGAUGGAUCCGCGCUGCAUUAGCUAGUUGGUAAGGUAACGGCUUACCAAGGCAACGAUGCAUAGCCGACCUGAGAGGGUGAUCGGCCACACUGGAACUGAGACACGGUCCAGACUCCUACGGGAGGAAGCAGUAGGGAAUCUUCCGCAAUGGGCGAAAGCCUGACGGAGCAACGCCGCGUGAGUGAUGAAGGUCUUCGGAUCGUAAAACUCUGUUAUUAGGGAAGAAAAUAUGUGUAAGUAACUGUGCACAUCUUGACGGUACCUAAUCAGAAAGCCACGGCUAACUACGUG